RNAcentral lists this ribosomal RNA (446 nucleotides) under uncultured bacterium. RNAcentral's name for it is "SSU rRNA". It matches the Rfam family "Bacterial small subunit ribosomal RNA", at positions 26 to 518 of the family's 1533-position model. The record is from RNAcentral.
AGAGCGAACGCUGGCGGCAGGCCUAACACAUGCAAGUCGAGCGCCCGUAGCAAUACGGGAGCGGCAGACGGGAUAGUAACACGUGGGAACGCGCCCUUCGGUUCGGAAUAACUCAGGGAAACUUGAGCUAAUACCGAAUACGCCCUUACGGGGAAAGAUUUAUUGCCGAAGGAACGGCCCGCGUCCGAUUAGCUAGUUGGUGAGGUAAUGGCUCACCAAGGCUACGAUCGGUAGCUGGUCUGAGAGGAUGACCAGCAUCACUGGGACUGAGACACGGCCCAGACUCCUACGGGAGGCAGCAGUGGGGAAUAUUGGACAAUGGGCGCAAGCCUGAUCCAGCCAUGCCGCGUGGAUGAUGAAGGCCUUAGGGUUGUAAAGUCCUUUUAACGGGGAAGAUAAUGACGGUACCCGUAGAAUAAGCCCGGCUAACUUCGCGCCAGCACCGC